Molecule: ribosomal RNA, 293 nt
Filed under: uncultured bacterium
Lineage: Bacteria
Description: partial 16S ribosomal RNA
Rfam family: Archaeal small subunit ribosomal RNA
Source: RNAcentral
GUGCCAGCCGCCGCGGUAAUACCGGCAGCCCGAGUGAUGGCCGAUCUUAUUGGGCCUAAAGCGUCCGUAGCUGGCCUCGCAAGUCCGUCGGGAAAUCCAUUAGCCCAACUGAUGGGCGUCCGGCGGAAACUACAAGGCUUGGGACCGGAAGGCUCGAGGGGUACGUCCGGGGUAGGAGUGAAAUCCCGUAAUCCCGAACGGACCGCCGAUGGCGAAAGCACGUCGCGAGAACGGAUCCGACAGUGAGGGACGAAAGCCAGGGUCUCGAACCGGAUUAGAUACCCGGGGAGUCC